GGUGAAAAGCACCCCGGAAGGGGAGUGAAAUAGAACCUGAAACCGUGUGCUUACAAGUAGUCAGAGCCCGUUAAUGGGUGAUGGCGUGCCUUUUGUAGAAUGAACCGGCGAGUUACGAUUUGAUGCAAGGUUAAGCAGUAAAUGUGGAGCCGUAGCGAAAGCGAGUCUGAAUAGGGCGUUUAGUAUUUGGUCGUAGACCCGAAACCAGGUGAUCUACCCUUGGUCAGGUUGAAGUUCAGGUAACACUGAAUGGAGGACCGAACCGACUUACGUUGAAAAGUGAGCGGAUGAACUGAGGGUAGCGGAGAAAUUCCAAUCGAACCUGGAGAUAGCUGGUUCUCUCCGAAAUAGCUUUAGGGCUAGCCUCAAGUGAUGAUUAUUGGAGGUAGAGCACUGUUUGGACGAGGGGCCCCUCUCGGGUUACCGAAUUCAGACAAACUCCGAAUGCCAAUUAAUUUAACUUGGGAGUCAGAACAUGGGUGAUAAGGUCCGUGUUCGAAAGGGAAACAGCCCAGACCACCAGCUAAGGUCCCAAAAUAUAUGUUAAGUGGAAAAGGAUGUGGCGUUGCCCAGACAACUAGGAUGUUGGCUUAGAAGCAGCCAUCAUUUAAAGAGUGCGUAAUAGCUCACUAGUCGAGUGACACUGCGCCGAAAAUGUACCGGGGCUAAACAUAUUACCGAAGCUGUGGAUUGUCCUUUGGACAAUGGUAGGAGAGCGUUCUAAGGGCGUUGAAGCAUGAUCGUAAGGACAUGUGGAGCGCUUAGAAGUGAGAAUGCCGGUGUGAGUAGCGAAAGACGGGUGAGAAUCCCGUCCACCGAUUGACUAAGGUUUCCAGAGGAAGGCUCGUCCGCUCUGGGUUAGUCGGGUCCUAAGCUGAGGCCGACAGGCGUAGGCGAUGGAUAACAGGUUGAUAUUCCUGUACCACCUAUAAUCGUUUUAAUCGAUGGGGGGACGCAGUAGGAUAGGCGAAGCGUGCGAUUGGAUUGCACGUCUAAGCAGUAAGGCUGAGUAUUAGGCAAAUCCGGUACUCAUUAAGGCUGAGCUGUGAUGGGGAGAAGACAUUGUGUCUUCGAGUCGUUGAUUUCACACUGCCGAGAAAAGCCUCUAGAUAGAAAAUAGGUGCCCGUACCGCAAACCGACACAGGUAGUCAAGAUGAGAAUUCUAAGGUGAGCGAGCGAACUCUCGUUAAGGAACUCGGCAAAAUGACCCCGUAACUUCGGGAGAAGGGGUGCUCUUUAGGGUUAACGCCCAGAAGAGCCGCAGUGAAUAGGCCCAAGCGACUGUUUAUCAAAAACACAGGUCUCUGCUAAACCGUAAGGUGAUGUAUAGGGGCUGACGCCUGCCCGGUGCUGGAAGGUUAAGAGGAGUGGUUAGCUUCUGCGAAGCUACGAAUCGAAGCCCCAGUAAACGGCGGCCGUAACUAUAACGGUCCUAAGGUAGCGAAAUUCCUUGUCGGGUAAGUUCCGACCCGCACGAAAGGCGUAACGAUUUGGGCACUGUCUCAACGAGAGACUCGGUGAAAUCAUAGUACCUGUGAAGAUGCAGGUUACCCGCGACAGGACGGAAAGACCCCGUGGAGCUUUACUGUAGCCUGAUAUUGAAAUUCGGCACAGCUUGUACAGGAUAGGUAGGAGCCUUUGAAACGUGAGCGCUAGCUUACGUGGAGGCGCUGGUGGGAUACUACCCUAGCUGUGUUGGCUUUCUAACCCGCACCACUUAUCGUGGUGGGAGACAGUGUCAGGCGGGCAGUUUGACUGGGGCGGUCGCCUCCUAAAAGGUAACGGAGGCGCUCAAAGGUUCCCUCAGAAUGGUUGGAAAUCAUUCAUAGAGUGUAAAGGCAUAAGGGAGCUUGACUGCGAGACCUACAAGUCGAGCAGGGUCGAAAGACGGACUUAGUGAUCCGGUGGUUCCGCAUGGAAGGGCCAUCGCUCAACGGAUAAAAGCUACCCCGGGGAUAACAGGCUUAUCUCCCCCAAGAGUUCACAUCGACGGGGAGGUUUGGCACCUCGAUGUCGGCUCAUCGCAUCCUGGGGCUGUAGUCGGUCCCAAGGGUUGGGCUGUUCGCCCAUUAAAGCGGUACGCGAGCUGGGUUCAGAACGUCGUGAGACAGUUCGGUCCCUAUCCGUCGUGGGCGUAGGAAAUUUGAGAGGAGCUGUCCUUAGUACGAGAGGACCGGGAUGGACAUACCUCUGGUGUACCAGUUGUCGUGCCAACGGCAUAGCUGGGUAGCUAUGUGUGGACGGGAUAAGUGCUGAAAGCAUCUAAGCAUGAAGCCCCCCUCAAGAUGAGAUUUCCCAACUUCGGUUAUAAGAUCCCUCAAAGAUGAUGAGGUUAAUAGGUUC
This 2344-nucleotide ribosomal RNA is filed under the name Staphylococcus aureus. RNAcentral describes it as "partial 23S ribosomal RNA". It matches the Rfam family "Bacterial large subunit ribosomal RNA", at positions 513 to 2863 of the family's 2925-position model. The record is from RNAcentral. Lineage: Bacteria; Bacillati; Bacillota; Bacilli; Caryophanales; Staphylococcaceae.